This 600-nucleotide ribosomal RNA is filed under the name Trichosporon japonicum. RNAcentral's name for it is "partial large subunit ribosomal RNA". It matches the Rfam family "Eukaryotic large subunit ribosomal RNA", at positions 69 to 659 of the family's 3401-position model. Lineage: Eukaryota; Fungi; Basidiomycota; Tremellomycetes; Trichosporonales; Trichosporonaceae. The record is from RNAcentral.
UAAUGAUUCCCCUAGUACGGCGAGUGAAGCGGGAAGAGCUCAAAUUUGAAAUCUGGCAGUCUUCGAUUGUCCGAGUUGUAAUCUAUAGAGGCGUUUUCCGUGCCGGACCGUGUCCAAGUCUCCUGGAAAGGAGUAUCAAAGAGGGUGAUAAUCCCGUACUUAACACGACCACCGGUGCUCUGUGAUACGUCUUCUACGAGUCGAGUUGUUUGGGAAUGCAGCUCAAAAUGGGUGGUGAAUUCCAUCUAAAGCUAAAUAUUGGCGAGAGACCGAUAGCGAACAAGUACCGUGAGGGAAAGAUGAAAAGCACUUUGGAAAGAGAGUUAAACAGUACGUGAAAUUGUUGAAAGGGAAACGAUUGAAGUCAGUCGUGUUCUUUGGAUUCAGCCAGUUCUGCUGGUCUACUUCCUUGGAACGGGUCAACAUCAGUUUUGUCCGGUGGAUAAAGGUAGUAGGAAUGUGACUUCUCCGGAAGUGUUAUAGCCUAUUAUCACAUACACUGGGUGAGACUGAGGACUGCAGCUCGCCUUUAUGGCCGGUCUUCGGACACGUUCGAGCUUAGGAUGUUGACAUAAUGGCUUUAAACGACCCGUCUUGAAA